GCCUGGCCAAUUUGAAAGAUUGAGUCCCAAAUAUGGUUGCUUGGUGGUUUGAUUUAGCCCAUGCUAAUUAGAUCAGUCAUAUGAUAACUGAUUAGAUGAGAUCUAAACUCAAAUCUCUUUGUAAAUAUUAAGUAUAAUGGUCUUCCACCAUUGUAGAUGUGCGGGCAUGCUACCGACGUUGAUUAUUCUUGGCUGAUCAUAGUGGUUCAGUUACAUC
This 217-nucleotide long non-coding RNA is filed under the name Elaeis guineensis (African oil palm). RNAcentral describes it as "long non-coding RNA (EGUI_LNC066781)". The record is from RNAcentral. Lineage: Eukaryota; Viridiplantae; Streptophyta; Magnoliopsida; Arecales; Arecaceae.